GACGAACGCUGGCGGCGUGCUUAACACAUGCAAGUCGAACGGAAAGGCCCUGCUUUUGUGGGGUGCUCGAGUGGCGAACGGGUGAGUAACACGUGAGUAACCUGCCUUGAAUUUGGGAUUACUUUAGGAAACCGGGGGCAAUUCCGGAAAAGAGCUCCUGGCGCAUGGUGGGGGGUGGGAAGGUUCGGCGGUUGGGGAUGGACUCGCGGCUUAUCAGCUUGUUGGUGGGGUAGUGGCUUACCAAGGCUUUGACGGGUAGCCGGCCUGAGAGGGUGACCGGCCACAUUGGGACUGAGAUACGGCCCAGACUCCUACGGGAGGCAGCAGUGGGGAAUAUUGCACAAUGGGCGGAAGCCUGAUGCAGCAACGCCGCGUGCGGGAUGACGGCCUUCGGGUUGUAAACCGCUUUCGCCUGUGACGAAGCGUGAGUGACGGUAAUGGGUAAAGAAGCACCGGCUAACUACGUG
This 467-nucleotide ribosomal RNA is filed under the name uncultured bacterium. Its description in RNAcentral is "partial 16S ribosomal RNA". It matches the Rfam family "Bacterial small subunit ribosomal RNA", at positions 28 to 507 of the family's 1533-position model. The record is from RNAcentral.